ACUCAGGUUCAGGAGUCAUCUACCUCUAUCUCAGAGGAGUUAUCUACUCCAGUCCAGUGUGAGACAGACCGUACUGGUUUAUAUGGAGUUGUGGUGUAUAAUGACCAAACUUAUCCCAUAACUUUUGUUGGGAACCAUCAGUCUAGAAAUCAGCCUUUAUAUGCAGACAACACAACCGUUGGAUGUGAAGAAUUGGAGUGGCAGCUGAGCACAGAAGACAUACAUCAUCAGGAGCAGAACCUGGAGUUUCAGCCCUCUGUACACUUGAUGUCUGGCGGGAGAUAUAACGCACAACUGAGCCCUUGUCCCGUCUGCCUGACUGAACCCACAAAGAGACUGACUACUCUUUGGUAAUCGCAGUAUGACACUUCUUAAAUUCACAGUAUGGACACUCACAGGUCUCACCAAACGCAACAAACUAACAAAGAUUGAAUAUUGGCCGGAUGUGUUAUAACAGACUAUUUCUUAGCCUCGUGGUACAGGCUGGCUGCAGGCUUAUGGGUUUAUGAUUAAGGUUCA
Larimichthys crocea (large yellow croaker) is the source of this 519-nucleotide long non-coding RNA. RefSeq lists it as uncharacterized. The transcript is spliced from 4 exons. Lineage: Eukaryota; Metazoa; Chordata; Actinopteri; Sciaenidae. The record is from RefSeq and is a predicted model, not a curated record.